RNAcentral lists this ribosomal RNA (255 nucleotides) under uncultured bacterium. Its description in RNAcentral is "partial 16S ribosomal RNA". It matches the Rfam family "Bacterial small subunit ribosomal RNA", at positions 524 to 776 of the family's 1533-position model. The record is from RNAcentral.
UACGAGGGGGGCGAGCGUUGUUCGGAAUUAUUGGGCGUAAAGGGUGCGUAGAUGGCCGAGUAAGUUAGUGGUGGGAAAUCGAGGCUCAACCUCGUGGAAGCCAUUAAUACUGUUCGACUCGAGGAUAGGAGAGGUUGACGGAACUCCAUGUGGAAGGGUAAAAUCUGCAGAUAUAUGGAAGAACAUCAAUACGGCGAAGGCAGUUAACUAUUCUAUUCCUGACGUUGAGGCACGAAAGCGUGGGGAGCAAAAAGG